Molecule: long non-coding RNA, 241 nt
Organism: Leguminivora glycinivorella
Lineage: Eukaryota; Metazoa; Arthropoda; Insecta; Lepidoptera; Tortricidae
Exons: 3
Source: RefSeq, a predicted model, not a curated record
GCGGUAAAACCCCUGGCUAUGAAAUGGCACGGAAAUUAAGAGCACGUUGUACCAAUCGGUGUUGCCACUUCCAUGCUCCGUUGAUCAGAAAAAUAGUACCAACAGUAGUCAACCAAUUUUUUGGAAAAUUUCCAAAAUGAGGAAAUUCACAUAACUGACUUAAGCACCAAUAGCGUGACGAAGACUAUCGUGACUUGACUAUGAUAAUUACUCGUAUCUACUUGACGAACUACGUGUUUUU